RNAcentral lists this ribosomal RNA (253 nucleotides) under uncultured bacterium. RNAcentral's name for it is "partial 16S ribosomal RNA". It matches the Rfam family "Bacterial small subunit ribosomal RNA", at positions 524 to 776 of the family's 1533-position model. The record is from RNAcentral.
UACGUAGGGGGCUAGCGUUGUCCGGAAUCAUUGGGCGUAAAGAGCGUGUAGGCGGCCCGGUAAGUCCGCUGUAAAAGUCAAAGGCUCAACCUUUGAAUGUCAGUGGAUACUGCCGGGCUAGAGGAUGGUAGAGGCGAGUGGAAUUCCCGGUGUAGCGGUGAAAUGCGCAGAUAUCGGGAGGAACACCAGUAGCGAAGGCGGCUCGCUGGGCCAUUCCUGACGCUGAGACGCGAAAGCUAGGGGAGCGAACAGG